Molecule: ribosomal RNA, 483 nt
Filed under: uncultured bacterium
Lineage: Bacteria
Description: partial 16S ribosomal RNA
Rfam family: Bacterial small subunit ribosomal RNA
Source: RNAcentral
AUUGAACGCUGGCGGCAGGCCUAACACAUGCAAGUCGAGCGGAUGAAGGGAGCUUGCUCCUGGAUUCAGCGGCGGACGGGUGAGUAAUGCCUAGGAAUCUGCCUGGUAGUGGGGGAUAACGUCCGGAAACGGGCGCUAAUACCGCAUACGUCCUGAGGGAGAAAGUGGGGGAUCUUCGGACCUCACGCUAUCAGAUGAGCCUAGGUCGGAUUAGCUAGUUGGUGGGGUAAAGGCCUACCAAGGCGACGAUCCGUAACUGGUCUGAGAGGAUGAUCAGUCACACUGGAACUGAGACACGGUCCAGACUCCUACGGGAGGCAGCAGUGGGGAAUAUUGGACAAUGGGCGAAAGCCUGAUCCAGCCAUGCCGCGUGUGUGAAGAAGGUCUUCGGAUUGUAAAGCACUUAAGUUGGGAGGAAGGGCAGUAAGUUAAUACCUUGCUGUUUUGACGUUACCAACAGAAUAAGCACCGGCUAACUUCGUG